UACGGGAGGCAGCAGUGGGGAAUUUUCCGCAAUGGGCGAAAGCCUGACGGAGCAAUACCGCGUGGGGGAGGAAGGUUCUUGGAUUGUCAACCCCUUUUCUCAGGGAAGAACGCAAUGACGGUACCUGAGGAAAAAGCAUCGGCUAACUCCGUGCCAGCAGCCGCGGUAAUACGGGGGAUGCAAGCGUUAUCCGGAAUGAUUGGGCGUAAAGAGUCCGUAGGUAGUCAUCCAAGUCUGCUGUUAAAGAGCGAGGCUUAACCUCGUAAAGGCAGUGGAAACUGGAAGACUAGAGUGUAGUAGGGGCAGAGGGAAUUCCUGGUGUAGCGGUGAAAUGCGUAGAGAUCAGGAAGAACACCGGUGGCGAAGGCGCUCUGCUGGGCUAUAACUGACACUGAGGGACGAAAGCUAGGGGAGCGAAUGGGAUUAGAUACCCCAGUAGUCCUAGCGGUAAACGAUGGAAACUAGGUGUGGCCUGUAUCGACCCGGGCCGUGCCGAAGCAAACGCGUUA
Molecule: ribosomal RNA, 509 nt
Filed under: bacterium enrichment culture clone LiUU-12-14
Lineage: Bacteria
Description: bacterial SSU rRNA
Rfam family: Bacterial small subunit ribosomal RNA
Source: RNAcentral